Molecule: long non-coding RNA, 262 nt
Filed under: Solanum tuberosum (potato)
Lineage: Eukaryota; Viridiplantae; Streptophyta; Magnoliopsida; Solanales; Solanaceae
Description: long non-coding RNA (STUB_LNC005306)
Source: RNAcentral
AUAGUUCAACCAAGAGGUCAACUACAAGUAUUCAUUGUAUCGAACAUGAAGACAGGCAAUAGUAUAGUUCAACCAAGAGCUCAACUACAACUAUUCAUUGUAUCGAACAUCAAGACAGGCGAUAGUAUCUAGAUCCUGGACUCACAAAAAUCGUUCAUCAAAAUAAUACGCAGGAUAAAUCAUCAUUCUAAUAAUAUUAUGGAACCAGCUAAAUGUUGAAGCUGAAAGCCAGUUGACUUGUGAUCCUGAUUCAUGAAUGGAG